RNAcentral lists this transfer RNA (67 nucleotides) under Rhagoletis zephyria (snowberry fruit fly). RNAcentral's name for it is "tRNA-Glu". Lineage: Eukaryota; Metazoa; Arthropoda; Insecta; Diptera; Tephritidae. The record is from RNAcentral.
GUUUAUAUAGUUUAAUAAAAACAUUACAUUUUCAUUGUAAAAUUAAAAUAUUCUUUUUUUAUAAAUU